This 220-nucleotide unclassified non-coding RNA is filed under the name root metagenome. RNAcentral describes it as "partial contains small subunit ribosomal RNA and internal transcribed spacer 1". The record is from RNAcentral.
UUUCCGUAGGUGAACCUGCGGAAGGAUCAUUAAUGUGAAAAAGCAGAGCAGUGGCGCAAGCCACUGGUCUGUGUAGGCCUGUGUUUUGUUAUUGAGUUUGGCGGGGUCAUGUUGCGCUCUGCAGCGCGCCUGCCCGCCAAAGUUUUAACCCAAACUUAACAAUGUAACGAGAGUUUAUAAACAACAAUUACAACUGUUGGCAACGGAUCACUCGGCUCUC